RNAcentral lists this ribosomal RNA (682 nucleotides) under Bacillus sp. bs19(2013). Its description in RNAcentral is "bacterial SSU rRNA". It matches the Rfam family "Bacterial small subunit ribosomal RNA", at positions 134 to 803 of the family's 1533-position model. Lineage: Bacteria; Bacillati; Bacillota; Bacilli; Caryophanales; Bacillaceae. The record is from RNAcentral.
AAGACUGGGAUAACUCCGGGAAACCGGGGCUAUACCGGAUAACAUUUUGAACCGCAUGGUUCGAAAUUGAAAGGCGGCUUCGGCUGUCACUUAUGGAUGGACCCGCGUCGCAUUAGCUAGUUGGUGAGGUAACGGCUCACCAAGGCAACGAUGCGUAGCCGACCUGAGAGGGUGAUCGGCCACACUGGGACUGAGACACGGCCCAGACUCCUACGGGAGGCAGCAGUAGGGAAUCUUCCGCAAUGGACGAAAGUCUGACGGAGCAACGCCGCGUGAGUGAUGAAGGCUUUCGGGUCGUAAAACUCUGUUGUUAGGGAAGAACAAGUGCUAGUUGAAUAAGCUGGCACCUUGACGGUACCUAACCAGAAAGCCACGGCUAACUACGUGCCAGCAGCCGCGGUAAUACGUAGGUGGCAAGCGUUAUCCGGAAUUAUUGGGCGUAAAGCGCGCGCAGGUGGUUUCUUAAGUCUGAUGUGAAAGCCCACGGCUCAACCGUGGAGGGUCAUUGGAAACUGGGAGACUUGAGUGCAGAAGAGGAAAGUGGAAUUCCAUGUGUGCGGUGAAAUGCGUAAGAUAUGGAGGAACACCAGUGGCGAAGGCGACUUUCUGGUCUGUAACUGACACUGAGGCGCGAAAAGCGUGGGGGAGCUAACAGGAUUAUACCCUGGUAGUUCCCCGCCGU